RNAcentral lists this ribosomal RNA (468 nucleotides) under uncultured bacterium. RNAcentral describes it as "partial 16S ribosomal RNA". It matches the Rfam family "Bacterial small subunit ribosomal RNA", at positions 28 to 507 of the family's 1533-position model. The record is from RNAcentral.
GACGAACGCUGGCGGCGUGCUUAACACAUGUAAGUCGAACGGAAAGGCCCUGCUUUUGUGGGGUGCUCGAGUGGCGAACGGGUGAGUAACACGUGAGUAACCUGCCCUUGACUUUGGGAUAACUUCAGGAAACUGGGGCUAAUACCGGAUAGGAGCUCCUGCUGCAUGGUGGGGGUUGGAACGUUUCGGCGGUUGGGGAUGGACUCGCGGCUUAUCAGCUUGUUGGUGGGGUAGUGGCUUACCAAGGCUUUGACGGGUAGCCGGCCUGAGAGGGUGACCGGCCACAUUGGGACUGAGAUACGGCCCAGACUCCUACGGGAGGCAGCAGUGGGGAAUAUUGCACAAUGGGCGGAAGCCUGAUGCAGCAACGCCGCGUGCGGGAUGACGGCCUUCGGGUUGUAAACCGCUUUCGCCUGUGACGAAGCGUGAGUGACGGUAAUGGGUAAAGAAGCACCGGCUAACUACGUG